GCUGGGCGUGGUGGCUCACGCCUGUAAUCCCAGCACUUUGGGAGGCCGAGGUGGGUGGAUCACUUGAGGUCAGGAGUUCAAGACCAGCCUGGCCAACAUGGUGAAACCCCGUCUCUA
Macaca fascicularis (crab-eating macaque) is the source of this 117-nucleotide unclassified non-coding RNA. It matches the Rfam family "Metazoan signal recognition particle RNA". From Rfam's summary of the family: The signal recognition particle (SRP) is a universally conserved ribonucleoprotein. NCBI's taxonomy places the organism in Eukaryota, Metazoa, Chordata, Mammalia, Primates, Cercopithecidae. The record is from Ensembl.